CCCUUAGAGUUUGAUCAUGGCUCAGAUUGAACGCUGGCGGCAUGCCUUACACAUGCAAGUCGAACGGUAACAGGGAGCUUGCUCCGCUGACGAGUGGCGAACGGGUGAGUAAUACAUCGGAACGUGCCCAGUAAUGGGGGAUAGCUCGGCGAAAGCCGGAUUAAUACCGCAUACGCCCUGAGGGGGAAAGUGGGGGACCGCAAGGCCUCACGUUAUUGGAGCGGCCGAUGGCUGAUUAGCUAGUUGGUAGGGUAAAGGCCUACCAAGGCGACGAUCAGUAGCUGGUCUGAGAGGACGAUCAGCCACACUGGGACUGAGACACGGCCCAGACUCCUACGGGAGGCAGCAGUGGGGAAUUUUGGACAAUGGGGGAAACCCUGAUCCAGCAAUGCCGCGUGUGCGAAGAAGGCCUUCGGGUUGUAAGGCACUUUUGUCAGGGAAGAAAUCCUUUGGGCUAAUACCCUAGGGGGAUGACGGUACCUGAAGAAUAAGCACCGGCUAACUACGUGCCAGCAGCCGCGGUAAUACGUAGGGUGCAAGCGUUAAUCGGAAUUACUGGGCGUAAAGCGUGCGCAGGCGGUUGUGUAAGAUAGGUGUGAAAUCCCCGGGCUUAACCUGGGAAUUGCAUUUGUGACUGCACGACUAGAGUGUGUCAGAGGGGGGUGGAAUUCCACGUGUAGCAGUGAAAUGCGUAGAUAUGUGGAGGAACACCAAUGG
RNAcentral lists this ribosomal RNA (717 nucleotides) under uncultured bacterium. RNAcentral describes it as "bacterial SSU rRNA". It matches the Rfam family "Bacterial small subunit ribosomal RNA", at positions 1 to 715 of the family's 1533-position model. The record is from RNAcentral.